RNAcentral lists this ribosomal RNA (660 nucleotides) under uncultured Inocybe. RNAcentral's name for it is "eukaryotic LSU rRNA". The stretch from base 293 to 446 matches the Rfam family "5.8S ribosomal RNA". The record is from RNAcentral. Lineage: Eukaryota; Fungi; Basidiomycota; Agaricomycetes; Agaricales; Cortinariaceae.
UAGAGGAAGUAAAAGUCGUAACAAGGUUUCCGUAGGUGAACCUGCGGAAGGAUCAUUAUUGAAUAAACUUGAACAGGCUGCUGCUGGCCCCCUUGGGUGCAUGUGCACGCUUGUCAUAUUUAUCUCUCCUGCUGUGCACAUAUUGUAGACCUGGAGUUUGAUUAUUUGACUAUAGAUUGAGAAUUGCUGUGCUUUCAUGAGUCAGCUUUGUCUUGCAUUUCCCAGGUUUAUGUUUGUUUUCACAAUCUCUGAUUAAUGUUGGAAUGUACCUAUAAAAGUUAUAUAUAUAUACAACUUUCAGCAACGGAUCUCUUGGCUCUCGCAUCGAUGAAGAACGCAGCGAAAUGCGAUAAGUAAUGUGAAUUGCAGAAUUCAGUGAAUCAUCGAAUCUUUGAACGCAUCUUGCGCUCCUUGGUAUUCCGAGGAGCAUGCCUGUUUGAGUGUCAUUAAGUUCUCAACCACACUGAUCUUUCAGUGUGGCCUUGGAUAUGGGGGUUUUGCAGGCUUCUGAAAAUGAAGUCGGCUCCCCUGAAAUGCAUUAGUGGUAUCUGAGCAGAGACUACUACAGGUGUGAUAAUUAUCUAUGCCUUCAAGUAUACUGCAUGAAACAGAUUGCACUGCUUCUAACAUGUUUGACAAAUUGACCUCAAAUCAGGUAGG